RNAcentral lists this non-coding RNA (166 nucleotides) under uncultured Sporosarcina sp. The record is from RNAcentral. Lineage: Bacteria; Bacillati; Bacillota; Bacilli; Caryophanales; Caryophanaceae.
CAUGGCGACGUGGAAUCUGAAGGAAGCGAGCGGCAAACCUCCGGUCUGAGGAACACGAACUUCAUAUAAGGCUGUGUAUGAUUGGGUGAGUUUGCUUAACAAAACAAAGCCCUUUCUGCCGAAGGUCAUAUGCAGUAAAUGAAGCAGAUAGGUGGAGGGAAAGACU